UACGGGGGGGGCAAGCGUUGUUCGGAAUUACUGGGCGUAAAGGGCUUGUAGGUGGCCAACUAAGUCAGACGUGAAAUCCCUCAGCUUAACUGGGGAACUGUGUCUGAUACUGGAUGGCUUGAGUUUGGGAGAGGGAUGCGGAAUUCCAGGUGUAGCGGUGAAAUGCGUAGAUAUCUGGAGGAACACCGGUGGCGAAGGCGGCAUCCUGGACCAACACUGACACUGAGGAGCGAAAGCCAGGGGAGCAAACGGG
Molecule: ribosomal RNA, 253 nt
Filed under: uncultured bacterium
Lineage: Bacteria
Description: partial 16S ribosomal RNA
Rfam family: Bacterial small subunit ribosomal RNA
Source: RNAcentral